RNAcentral lists this unclassified non-coding RNA (372 nucleotides) under uncultured bacterium. Its description in RNAcentral is "contains 16S-23S intergenic spacer region". The record is from RNAcentral.
UCCGGUUUGUCACCGGCAGUCUCAUUAGAGUGCCCUUGCGUAGCAACUAAUGAUAAGGGUUGCGCUCGUUGCGGGACUUAACCCAACAUCUCACGACACGAGCUGACGACAGCCAUGCAGCACCUGUCUCACGGUUCCCGAAGGCGCUCUCGCAUCUCUGCAAGAUUCCGUGGAUGUCAAGACCAGGUAAGGUUCUGCGCGUUGCAUCGAAUUAAACCACAUGCUCCACCGCUUGUGCGGGCCCCCGUCAAUUCCUUUGAGUUUCAGCCUUGCGGCCGUACUCCCCAGGCGGGACACUUACUGCGUUAGCGACGGCACCGGGAGGGUCGCUCCCCCCGACGCCUAGUGUCCAUCGUUUACGGCGUGGACUAC